RNAcentral lists this transfer RNA (63 nucleotides) under Cleroidea sp. 1 KM-2017. RNAcentral describes it as "tRNA-Arg". The record is from RNAcentral. Lineage: Eukaryota; Metazoa; Arthropoda; Insecta; Coleoptera.
UAAUAAGAAGCAAAAAAUUGCAUUUAGUUUCGACCUAAAAGUUUGGUAUUUUACCCUUAUUAU